GAAAGUGGAAAUAACAAACCAGAACUAAUUUUUAUGGACCAAGUAGAAGAUAUAUCAUCGGAUUUCAUUCUGCACAAAAACGAGAAUUGCAUUCAAAUUCGCAUUAAUGAUGGAACCCGUGAUGGCAGAAUCAUUUUGACAAACUCAGAUGAAAUAGGAUUAAAAGAAUGGUCAUCUUCCCUAAGAUCGGCACACAAAAUUUCUCAAGACCUCUUGGGAUCAAUGGCU
This is a long non-coding RNA of Drosophila sechellia, 228 nucleotides long. RefSeq lists it as uncharacterized. The transcript has 2 exons. Lineage: Eukaryota; Metazoa; Arthropoda; Insecta; Diptera; Drosophilidae. The record is from RefSeq and is a predicted model, not a curated record.